RNAcentral lists this long non-coding RNA (1060 nucleotides) under Equus caballus (horse). Its description in RNAcentral is "lncRNA (ENSECAG00000046532.1)". Lineage: Eukaryota; Metazoa; Chordata; Mammalia; Perissodactyla; Equidae. The record is from RNAcentral.
GUGAAGUCAUCUGUGUCUGGAGUUUUUUUUGUUGGAUGGUUUUUUAAAAAAACAUUACUUCGAUUUCUUUAACAGAUAUAGCACUGUUCAGGUUGUGUGUGUCUCUUCUCGAGCUUUGUCUGUGUCUUCAAGGAGACUGUCCCUCUCCCAGACCUGCGCCAUGAGGAAGGCUUGCUCGGGUCUCUUGCCUCACCUCAUUGGAUACCAGUAAAGAGGCCAUAAAGAACAAACUUCAGCAUGGUGAUUUGGGUUUACUCCCAAGGAAGAAGGUCAGUGUCAAAGAUUUUGCUGCAGAAGUAAGUCAAGGUGUGCUGAUAAGAGAAGGCGUCUAGGAGUCCUGAAAGCUAAGGGCCAACAGAAGACUCAGGCUCUAAAUGAGUUGGCAAGAAGCAGGUGUGCUAGGGAUGGUGUCUCCAAGUAGCAGAGAACCAUAUGAGGUGACCUCCUAUGGCCUGGAGCUCAGAUGUAAAGAUAAGAUCAGGGCACACAUUUCUGUGAACCACUGCCCCUAUUCCCACAGCAGCAGGAGGCUUCCAUGGGGUCAGUUGUAAAGACUCACUGAGGACCUUCUCUGAGCACAGCUCGUAAAUGUGAGAUAUGGUGCUAGUAUGCAACAGAAUUAUAAUGUGUUUGUGCAAACGUGAAACUUUAGCAGAUACCAGAGAGUCAAAUUAAGGUGCUAGGUGGCAUAGGAUAGACUGUCAGGACUGUGAACACCUUUAAAUAGAAAGGUCUUGAUGAGGCUUCAGUAGUCAGAGAAUGCCUUGCGGAGGGGCUUCAGCCUGAGCUGGGCCUAAAAGAGUGGCCAAGAUUUUGACAGAGAGGCAUAGAGAAGGGAUAACAUUGCCAAACCUGGAAGCCACAGGAUGAGGGGCACAGAGAAGUAAGGACCUCUAUCAGCCAACUGGCAGGAUAGAGAGGAGUUUGGAGGGGGUGGGGGCUAGAGAGACAGCAUGAUAAGAGGUAAAGAGCAAUAGCAUUUCAAGGGCCUUGAAUGUCAAUUAGUGAAAUUUAAACCUGAUGCUUCAGAGAAUAAGGAUUUAUUAGUGCUUUUAUAGUG